GCCACUGUGGCGCAAUGGCUUAGCGCGCUGCUUUCCGGUGCUCACGCAUGAUAGGCAGAGGCUGUGGGUUCGAAUCCCAUCAGUGGUU
Phlegmacium glaucopus is the source of this 88-nucleotide non-coding RNA. NCBI's taxonomy places the organism in Eukaryota, Fungi, Basidiomycota, Agaricomycetes, Agaricales, Cortinariaceae. The record is from the annotation of a GenBank genome assembly.